This 274-nucleotide ribosomal RNA is filed under the name uncultured bacterium. RNAcentral describes it as "partial 16S ribosomal RNA". It matches the Rfam family "Bacterial small subunit ribosomal RNA", at positions 523 to 796 of the family's 1533-position model. The record is from RNAcentral.
AUACGGAGGGUGCAAGCGUUACUCGGAAUCACUGGGCGUAAAGGACGCGUAGGCGGAUUGGAAAGUCAGAUGUGAAAUCCUACAGCUUAACUGUAGAACUGCAUUUGUAACUUCUAAUCUAGAGUAUGGGAGGGGGAGAUGGAAUUAGUGGUGUAGGGGUAAAAUCCGUAGAUAUCACUAGGAAUACCGAAAGCGAAGGCGAUCUCCUGGAACAUAACUGACGCUAAGGCGUGAAAGCGUGGGGAGCAAACGGGAUUAGAAACCCUAGUAGUCC